CACGUAGGCGGCCUGUCAAGCGUCGGGUGAAAUCCCUCGGCUCAACCGAGGAAUGGCAAGGCGAACUGACAGGCUUGAGGCAGGUAGGGGCACAUGGAACUCUUGGUGGAGCGGUGGAAUGCGUAGAUAUCAAGAGGAACGCCGGUGGCGAAAGCGGUGUGCUGGGCCUGUCCUGACGCUGAGGUGCGAAAGCCAGGGGAGCAAACAGGAUUAGAUACCCUGGUAGUCC
This 229-nucleotide ribosomal RNA is filed under the name uncultured bacterium. RNAcentral's name for it is "partial 16S ribosomal RNA". It matches the Rfam family "Bacterial small subunit ribosomal RNA", at positions 568 to 796 of the family's 1533-position model. The record is from RNAcentral.